This 254-nucleotide ribosomal RNA is filed under the name uncultured bacterium. Its description in RNAcentral is "partial 16S ribosomal RNA". It matches the Rfam family "Bacterial small subunit ribosomal RNA", at positions 524 to 776 of the family's 1533-position model. The record is from RNAcentral.
UACGGGGGGGGCAAGCGUUGUUCGGAAUUACUGGGCGUAAAGGGCUCGUAGGUGGCCAACUAAGUCAGACGUGAAAUCCCUCAGCUUAACUGGGGAACUGCGUCUGAUACUGGAUGGCUUGGAUUCGGGAGAGGAAUGCGGAAUUCCAGGUGUAGCGGUGAAAUGCGUAGAUAUCUGGAGGAACACCGGUGGCGAAGGCGGCAUCCUGGACCAACACUGACGCUGAGUGAGCGAAAGCCAGGGGAGCAAACGGG